CCCGCCUAGCUUCUCCUAGUUGCUAGAAGGCGAACUGCGAAUGCCACUCGGAGAAGAGCCAGGUGUCGCUGUGGUCCUCUACAAAUGCGCCGCCGCCGCACUCCUCGGCCUUAUAGGUUCCAGGAAAGCCCCGCCUAAGACGGAUCUUGGCCUCUCCUCAUCCCUUCCAGGUCCUUCUGAAGAUAUAUUUAUCAAGCAGCGGUGAGGAAGCCUAGAUUGAGGAUCAAGCUGAAAUGCUGACGUGGCUCUGGGUUCCUGCUGACCUCAUGCCUGGCCAAGUGCCCAGCAUUGGGAGGUGUUCGGUGUAUUGUUUGGGAAGCCAUAUUUUCUGGCAUUGGAAUCAAGGCACCUGGGUGCCCAUGGGACCAUCAACCAUGCUGGGGAUAACACUGCUAAAUGCUCCACACAAUCACGUCUGUGAAGAAGGAAGAUUGAUGGUGGCCCCUGCACGAGGCACAGACAAGACCUGUCAUAGUUGUCAUGUGGUUAUGGCAGUUUUCACCAGUGAAAUUGACCAAUUCAUCAACUGCUCACCAGGCACCGGGGAAGUCACAGUCAGACCUACAUUCGCCUUCAAAUAACAUUCUCAGGUUAGGAACUGGCCAUGACUAAAAGAGCAGAGCUGUAGAAACAUUGGGAGCAUGACCUGUGUACUCAAGUGAAAACCACAGUGUCAAGAAGGAAGCGUUGACACUCAGUGAACAUGCUAAAAACCAAUGAUGAAGGUAUUCU
RNAcentral lists this long non-coding RNA (732 nucleotides) under Sus scrofa (pig). RNAcentral's name for it is "lncRNA (ENSSSCG00065019967.1)". The record is from RNAcentral. Lineage: Eukaryota; Metazoa; Chordata; Mammalia; Artiodactyla; Suidae.